GCCAUAAUGGCUAACACCUAGGUCAUAACUCGUUACAAUUACUUGUUCUCCUUUUUCAAAGCCUGGUGCUUCGGAUUCAACAAUUGUUCCAGCUAAAUCUAUUCCUGGAAUCAUAGGAUACGAUUUUACGACUGCAUUAUGAUCUUGAGUCGCUAAAGCAUCUUUAUAAUUUAUACCAGAGUAAUGUAC
Molecule: small RNA, 189 nt
Filed under: Staphylococcus aureus
Lineage: Bacteria; Bacillati; Bacillota; Bacilli; Caryophanales; Staphylococcaceae
Description: HMPRFS0000_2649
Source: RNAcentral